RNAcentral lists this ribosomal RNA (555 nucleotides) under Bifidobacterium longum. RNAcentral describes it as "bacterial SSU rRNA". It matches the Rfam family "Bacterial small subunit ribosomal RNA", at positions 144 to 711 of the family's 1533-position model. Lineage: Bacteria; Bacillati; Actinomycetota; Actinomycetes; Bifidobacteriales; Bifidobacteriaceae. The record is from RNAcentral.
UCUCCCUGGGGAAACGGGUGGUAAUGCCGGAUGCUCCAGUUGAUCGCAUGGUCUUCUGGGAAAGCUUUCGCGGUAUGGGAUGGGGUCGCGUCCUAUCAGCUUGACGGCGGGGUAACGGCCCACCGUGGCUUCGACGGGUAGCCGGCCUGAGAGGGCGACCGGCCACAUUGGGACUGAGAUACGGCCCAGACUCCUACGGGAGGCAGCAGUGGGGAAUAUUGCACAAUGGGCGCAAGCCUGAUGCAGCGACGCCGCGUGAGGGAUGGAGGCCUUCGGGUUGUAAACCUCUUUUAUCGGGGAGCAAGCGAGAGUGAGUUUACCCGUUGAAUAAGCACCGGCUAACUACGUGCCAGCAGCCGCGGUAAUACGUAGGGUGCAAGCGUUAUCCGGAAUUAUUGGGCGUAAAGGGCUCGUAGGCGGUUCGUCGCGUCCGGUGUGAAAGUCCAUCGCUUAACGGUGGAUCCGCGCCGGGUACGGGCGGGCUUGAGUGCGGUAGGGGAGACUGGAAUUCCCGGUGUAACGGUGGAAUGUGUAGAUAUCGAAAAAAAAACACCC